UCUCGUUCCAGCCCAGGAUGAAAAUGCCCUGUGUGCAAGGAGGGGAGCAGGGACUGAUAUGGGUCAUGAGACUCUCAAAAGGAUUACCUUGAACUGAAGUCAUGAGACCAAGGCUUGAACAAAGAGCCGGCUCACAUGCUCAUCAUAUGAGCCCCACUUCAUAAAGUCAUGUCGUUUCAUAUCUGCUGGGCUUCAGUGGGCUAGGAGGACCCGGGUGAGAGCAGCUAGAGAGCUGGAGCUGGAGCUGGUGUGAAGUUUCUUGAGAGUUCUUAGAUUUAUUCAGAGUUCUUGAGUUCUUGAGUUCUUGAGUUCUUAGAAAGUUCUUGAGUUCUUGAGUUCUUAGAAAGUUCUUGAGUUCUUGAGUUCUUCUUUACUAGUAGUUGGAUGUUAUAGUGUUGAGUUACUCUUGUGCUCCUCUUGAAGUUUCGCCUGGAUGCUCUUCCACUGACGGCGCACAAAGCUUGGAUUGAGAAGACGUUUCAGAAAAGAGAGUGCAUCCAAAUAUUUCCCAGCAAAGAACCAAACAGGUGCAGUUGUGGUCAGGUAGUGAACCAGCAUGUAGAAAGCACUAGGAAGUGGUUAUAACGCAUUAUAACACCAGCAAUAAGCAUUUAUAACCCCCCUUAUGUCCUCCCUUUCUACCUCCAGGUGCAGUUGUGGUCAGGUAGUGAACCAGCAUGUAGAAAGCACUAGGAAGUGGUUAUAACGCAUUAUAACACCAGCAAUAAGCAUUUAUAACCCCCCUUAUAUCCUCCCUU
Salvelinus fontinalis (brook trout) is the source of this 758-nucleotide long non-coding RNA. RefSeq lists it as uncharacterized. The transcript is spliced from 3 exons. NCBI's taxonomy places the organism in Eukaryota, Metazoa, Chordata, Actinopteri, Salmoniformes, Salmonidae. The record is from RefSeq and is a predicted model, not a curated record.